UUUCCUCUUCCCCCUCCCCUUCCCCUUCCCAUAGGAAAGGAAGAAGAUACCCCAUAGGACCCUAUAGGACCCCAUAAGCCCCAUAGGACCCCAUAAGACCCCAUAGGACCCCAUAAACCCCAUAGGAAUCAAUAGGACCCCAUCAGACCCCAUAGGACCUCAUAAGACCCCAUAAACCCCAUAGGAAUCAAUAGGAAGCAAUAGGACCCCAUAAGACUCCAUAGGACCCCAUAAGACCCCAUAGGACCUCAUAAGACCCCAUAAACCCCAUAGGAAUCAAUAGGAAGCAAUAGGACCCCAUAAGACUCCUUAGGACCCCAUAGGAUCCCAUAAGACCCCAGAAGACACCAUAGCACGCCAUAAGACCCCAUAGGACCCCAUAGGAACCAAUAGGACACCAUAGCACACCGUAAGACCCCAUAGGACCCCAUAGGACCUCAUAAGACCCCAUAAACCCCAUAGGAAUCAAUAGGAAGCAAUAGGACCCCAUAAGACCCCAUAGGACCCUAUAGGACCCCAUAAGCCCAUAAGUCCAUUUCCUCUCCCCUCCCGCUUUCUUUUCCCCUUCCAUUUCCUCUCCCCUCUAUACCCCCCCCACUUCCUCUUCCCCUCCCCUUCCUCCCUUCCCCCUCUUACUUCCUCUCCUCUCCCCUCCCACUUCCUCCCCACUUCCUCCCCACUUCCCCCCCACACAUCCUCUUCCCUCCCACUUUGUCUUUUCCUUCCUCUUCCUCUUCCUCUUCCUCUUCCUCUUCCUCUUCCUCUUCCUCUUCCUCUUCCUCUUCCUUCUUCCCUUCCCCCUCUUAUUCCCCUCCCUUUUCCCAUUCCCUUCCUCUUCCUCCCCACUUCCUCUUCCCCUUCCCCUCCCACUUCCUCUUCCUCCCUCCCUUCCUCUUCCUCCUCCCCACUUCCACUUCCUCCUCACUUCCUCCCCCACUUCUUCUCCCCCUAUAUCCCCCCACUUCCUCUUCCCCCUAUAUUUCCCCCCUGAUAUCCCUCUACAUGUCGCUCUUUCCCCCCUUAUUUCCCCCCUAUAUCCCCCCUACUUCCUCUUCCCCCCUUAUUUCCCCCCUAUAUCCCCCCCUAUUUCCUCUCCCCUACUUUUUUCCCCCCCACUUCCUCCCCCCACCCCAUAUCCCCCCCAUCCACUUACCUCCGACAUCCCCAUCCUAUACACGAACCGGAGCCGUCCUUUGUCCCCCUCCACCUCAUUAACCACCUUGUUAACACGCAACUCGUUAAUCGCCUUCCUAUUGAUGACGCUCAAGCUUCCCAGCCCCACGGCGGUCAUAAUGGAGCUGGCCAACAGGCAGAGGCCGAACAGCUUCCAUAGGGAUCUCCUGCCCCACUCGGGCGCCAUCUUGGAUAUGGGGGGGAGGGGAGAAAGGGGGGGUUACAUAGGCCGAACCGGGCCGAAGUGGGCCAAGUUAGGCCUAGUUAGGCCAAGGUAGGCCAAGGUAGGCCAUGCUAGGCCUAGUUAGGCCUAGUUAGGCCAAGCUAGGCCAAGGUAGGCCAUGCUAGGCCCAAGAUGGCCAUGCUAGGCCAAUCCAAUCCAAUCCAGGCCUAGGUAGGCCAAGUUAGGCCCAAGAUGGCCGUGCUAGGCCAAUCCAAUCCAAUCCAAUCCAAUCCAGGCCUAGGUAGGCCAAGUAGGCCCAAGAUGGCCGUGCUAGGCCAAUCCAAUCCAAUCCAAUCCAAUCCAAGCCAAGGUUGGCCAUGAUAGGCCUAGGUAGGCCUAGGUAGGCCUCGCUAGGACUCACUAGGCCUUACUAGGUCUCACUAGUAAGACCCCAUAGAAACCCAUAUGACCUCAUACAACCCAUAAGUCCCUAUAAGACCCCAUAGGACCCCAUAAGACCCCAUAGGAUCCCAUAGGACCCCAUAAGACCCCAUAGAGACCCCAUAGAACAACCCAUUAGGACCCCAUAACGCUCUCCUCCUCCCAUUAGAGACCCGGCCCAAGUGGUGGAGAGGCGACGUGAACGCGGCCACCAUCUCAUGGACAGGGCUGAUCUUCCGUGAGGCUAUUCUCUUUAGAGUUGUCAACCCUUAGGGAACAACGUCGCCUCUCACUUGGGCGCGGUCAACCUUCUAGAGGCGCCUAACCCUCGUUAAAUCCUUACCUCUUUAUGGUGUCCAUCUUUUCCCUUCCGGGACCCGACGGGUUCCUCGGGUCCCAUUUUCUCGGGGAAGGGGGCCUCAUUGUUCCAUUUUCUUAGCCACUUCUAAUUUGAGGGUUAUUCUUAAAAGCUUUUUAAUUUGGGGGGGGGGUUUAAAAAUUUUUAAAUGUUGUGUGUGUGUGUGUUUGGUAUGAUUCUUUUUUUUGCGUUUUUGUGUUGUUUUUUUUUUUUUCCUGUGUUUGUUUUUUUAUUAAUAUAUUUUAUAAAUCUUUUUUAUUUUCCUUGGGUGUCCU
This 2410-nucleotide long non-coding RNA is filed under the name Coturnix japonica (Japanese quail). RNAcentral's name for it is "lncRNA (ENSCJPG00005000454.1)". Lineage: Eukaryota; Metazoa; Chordata; Aves; Galliformes; Phasianidae. The record is from RNAcentral.